CAGUAGCCACGGUAAUACGGAGGGAGCUAGCGUUGUUCGGAAUUACUGGGCGUAAAGCGCGCGUAGGCGGUUACUCAAGUCAGAGGUGAAAGCCCGGGGCUCAACCCCGGAACUGCCUUUGAAACUAGGUGACUAGAAUCUUGGAGAGGUCAGUGGAAUUCCGAGUGUAGAGGUGAAAUUCGUAGAUAUUCGGAAGAACACCAGUGGCUAAGGCGACUGACUGGACAAGUAUUGACGCUGAGGUGCGAAAGCGUGGGGAGCAAACAGGAUUAGAUACCCGAGUAGUCCCUGUCUCUUAUAC
This 301-nucleotide ribosomal RNA is filed under the name uncultured bacterium. RNAcentral's name for it is "partial 16S ribosomal RNA". It matches the Rfam family "Bacterial small subunit ribosomal RNA", at positions 509 to 807 of the family's 1533-position model. The record is from RNAcentral.